Molecule: ribosomal RNA, 554 nt
Filed under: Dacrymyces lacrymalis
Lineage: Eukaryota; Fungi; Basidiomycota; Dacrymycetes; Dacrymycetales; Dacrymycetaceae
Description: eukaryotic LSU rRNA
Rfam family: Eukaryotic large subunit ribosomal RNA
Source: RNAcentral
GGAGGAAAAGAAACUAACAAGGAUUCCCCUAGUAACUGCGAGUGAAGCGGGAAAAGCUCAAAUUUAAAAUCCCUUGGGAAUUGUAAUCUAAAGAAGUGUUUUCGGUCGUUGCCUCGGACAAGUCCUUUGGAACAAGGCGUCAUAGAGGGUGAGAAUCCCGUCCUUGCCGAGCUACCAACGUCUAUGUGAUACACUCUCGAAGAGUCGAGUUGUUUGGGAAUGCAGCUCAAAAUGGGUGGUAAACUCCAUCUAAAGCUAAAUAUUGGCGAGAGACCGAUAGCGAACAAGUACCGUGAGGGAAAGAUGAAAAGCACUUUGGACAGAGAGUUAAACAGUACGUGAAAUUGUUGAAAGGGAAACGCUUGAAGUCAGUCGCGUUGCAGGGACUCAGCCGCAAGGUGCAUUUCUCGGUAACGGGUCAACAUCAGUUUCGAGCGCGGGAAAAGGGCUUGGGGAAUGUGGCAGCCUCGGCUGUGUUAUAGCCCCCUGUCGUACACCGCGCCCGGGACUGAGGACCGCUAAUAGGAUGUUGACGUAAUGGCUUUAAGCGACCC